AAUUAAUAUGUUAAUUCUGUUAAAAAAGAUUUUCAUUCUUUUUAUUAUUUUUAUUACAGAAUUUUCAUUU
RNAcentral lists this transfer RNA (70 nucleotides) under Tetranychus evansi (red spider mite). RNAcentral's name for it is "tRNA-Glu". The record is from RNAcentral. Lineage: Eukaryota; Metazoa; Arthropoda; Arachnida; Trombidiformes; Tetranychidae.